This 254-nucleotide ribosomal RNA is filed under the name uncultured bacterium. RNAcentral describes it as "partial 16S ribosomal RNA". It matches the Rfam family "Bacterial small subunit ribosomal RNA", at positions 524 to 776 of the family's 1533-position model. The record is from RNAcentral.
GACGAACCGUGCGAACGUUGUUCGGAAUCACUGGGCGUAAAGGGCGCGUAGGCGGCCACGACAAGUCACUUGUGAAAUCUCCGGGCUUAACUCGGAACGGUCAAGUGAUACUGUCGGGCUAGAGUGCGGAAGGGGCAACUGGAAUUCUCGGUGUAGCGGUGAAAUGCGUAGAUAUCGAGAGGAACACCUGCGGCGAAGGCGGGUUGCUGGGCCGACACUGACGCUGAGGCGCGAAAGCUAGGGGAGCGAACGGG